This 457-nucleotide ribosomal RNA is filed under the name uncultured eukaryote. Its description in RNAcentral is "SSU rRNA". It matches the Rfam family "Eukaryotic small subunit ribosomal RNA", at positions 1284 to 1763 of the family's 1831-position model. The record is from RNAcentral.
AUGGCCGUUCUUAGUUGGUGGGUUGCCUUGUCAGGUUGAUUCCGGUAACGAACGAGACCUCAGCCUGCUAAAUAGUCACGGCUGCAUCCGCAGCUGGCAAACUUCUUAGAGGGACUGUUGGCGACUAGCCAACGGAAGUAUGAGGCAAUAACAGGUCUGUGAUGCCCUUAGAUGUUCUGGGCCGCACGCGCGCUACACUGAUACGUUCAACAAGUUCCUUGGCUCGAAAGGUCAUGGGUAAUCUUUGAAACCGUAUCGUGAUGGGGAUAGAACAUUGCAACUAUUGUUAUUCNNCAAGGAAUGCCUAGUAAUCGCGAGUCAUCAUCUCGCGUUGAUUACGUCCCUGCCCUUUGUACACACCGCCCGUCGCUCCUACCGAUUGGAUGUGCUGGUGAAGACUUCGGAUCGGCCACGCUAACUAGGUCUUCCUAGUUGUGGGGUUNAGAAGUUGUUUAAA